Molecule: ribosomal RNA, 464 nt
Filed under: uncultured Klebsiella sp.
Lineage: Bacteria; Pseudomonadati; Pseudomonadota; Gammaproteobacteria; Enterobacterales; Enterobacteriaceae
Description: bacterial SSU rRNA
Rfam family: Bacterial small subunit ribosomal RNA
Source: RNAcentral
CUACGGGGGGCUGCAGUGGGGAAUAUUGCACAAUGGGCGCAAGCCUGAUGCAGCCAUGCCGCGUGUGUGAAGAAGGCCUUCGGGUUGUAAAGCACUUUCAGCGGGGAGGAAGGCGGUGAGGUUAAUAACCUCAUCGAUUGACGUUACCCGCAGAAGAAGCACCGGCUAACUCCGUGCCAGCAGCCGCGGUAAUACGGAGGGUGCAAGCGUUAAUCGGAAUUACUGGGCGUAAAGCGCACGCAGGCGGUCUGUCAAGUCGGAUGUGAAAUCCCCGGGCUCAACUUGGGAACUGCAUUCGAAACUGGCAGGCUAGAGUCUUGUAGAGGGGGGUAGAAUUCCAGGUGUAGCGGUGAAAUGCGUAGAGAUCUGGAGGAAUACCGGUGGCGAAGGCGGCCCCCUGGACAAAGACUGACGCUCAGGUGCGAAAGCGUGGGGAGCAAACAGGAUUAGAUACCCUAGUAGUC